Mytilus californianus (California mussel) is the source of this 469-nucleotide long non-coding RNA. RefSeq lists it as uncharacterized. The record is from RefSeq and is a predicted model, not a curated record. The transcript is spliced from 3 exons. NCBI's taxonomy places the organism in Eukaryota, Metazoa, Mollusca, Bivalvia, Mytilida, Mytilidae.
UUGUCAAUCUGUCCUCCACUGAAUAGUGAAAAGUAUAAUACUGUUAUAUAGAUCAAAGUCAAAUUGUCAAUCUGUCCUUCCACUGAAGAGUGAAAAGUAUUAUACUGUUAUAUAGAUCAAGGUCAAAUUGUCAAUCUGUCCUUCCACUGAAGAGUGAAAAGUAUAAUACUGUUAUAUAGAUCAAGGUCAAAUUGUCAAUCUGUCCUCCACUGAAGAGUGAAAAGUAUAUCAAUCUGUCCUUCCACUGAAGAGUGAAAAGUAUAAUACUGUUAUAUAGAUCAAGGUCAAAUUGUCAAUCUGUCCUCCACUGAAGAGUGAAAAGUAUAAUACUGUUAUAUAGAUCAAGGUCAAAUUGUUAAUCUGUCCUUCCACUGAAGAGGGAAAAGUACAAUACUGUUAUAUAGAUCAAGGUCAAAUUGUCAAUCUGUCCUUCCACUGAAGAGGGAAAAGUAUAAUACUGUUAUAUAGA